GUUCGAACACCAUCACUAGCGGGCUCACUCCCGUGACAUUGUCAAAGUGUGGGGACCAUUCGUGGGACCCGCAGCCGGCAACAGCCGGUUCAACGACUACAAGGCAUUCGGCUGGGGCCGUCCCCCAGUUAAGAUAUAGUCUCAUCCCCCAGAGCGAUCUGGGGGAGCUAUGGCAUUAAAUCAGUUAUCGUUUAUUUGAUAGUACCUCACUACUUGGAUACCUGUGGUAAUUCUAGAGCUAAUACAUGCUAAAAACCUCAACUUCGGAAGGGGUGUAUUUAUUAGAUAAAAAACCAAUGCCCUUCGGGGCUCCUUGGUGAUUCAUAAUAACUCAACGAAUCGCAUGGCCUUGCGCCGGCGAUGGUUCAUUCAAAUUUCUGCCCUAUCAACUUUCAAUCGUAAGGUAGUGGCCUACGAUGGUUUCUACGGGUAACGGGGAAUUAGGGUUCUAUUCCGGAGAGGGAGCCUGAGAAACGGCUACCACAUCCAAGGAAGGCAGCAGGCGCGCAAAUUACCCAAUCCCGACACGGGGAGGUAGUGACAAUAAAUACUGAUACAGGGCUCUUUUGGGUCUUGUAAUUGGAAUGAGUACAAUUUAAAUCCCUUAACGAGGAACAAUUGGAGGGCAAGUCUGGUGGGCACUUCAGUGUUCCGGCUCGGGGGUCCUACGGGCCCUCGCUGCUGACGCCAGCCACACGUCCGGCACUGAAUCGGUGCUGGGCUUAGUGGGCUUCGGCCCGCGAGGUAUCUGGUAC
This 755-nucleotide ribosomal RNA is filed under the name Japewia subaurifera. Its description in RNAcentral is "bacterial SSU rRNA". The stretch from base 1 to 661 matches the Rfam family "Eukaryotic small subunit ribosomal RNA", at positions 63 to 594 of the family's 1831-position model. Lineage: Eukaryota; Fungi; Ascomycota; Lecanoromycetes; Lecanorales; Ramalinaceae. The record is from RNAcentral.